RNAcentral lists this transfer RNA (69 nucleotides) under Marmota monax (woodchuck). RNAcentral describes it as "tRNA.Ala". The stretch from base 3 to 64 matches the Rfam family "tRNA", at positions 6 to 65 of the family's 71-position model. From Rfam's summary of the family: Transfer RNA (tRNA) molecules are approximately 80 nucleotides in length. Their secondary structure includes four short double-helical elements and three loops (D, anti-codon, and T loops). Further hydrogen bonds mediate the characteristic L-shaped molecular structure. tRNAs have two regions of fundamental functional importance: the anti-codon, which is responsible for specific mRNA codon recognition, and the 3' end, to which the tRNAs corresponding amino acid is attached (by aminoacyl-tRNA synthetases). tRNAs cope with the degeneracy of the genetic code in two manners: having more than one tRNA (with a specific anti-codon) for a particular amino acid; and 'wobble' base-pairing, i.e. permitting non-standard base-pairing at the 3rd anti-codon position. The record is from RNAcentral. Lineage: Eukaryota; Metazoa; Chordata; Mammalia; Rodentia; Sciuridae.
GUUGUGGCUCAGUGGGCAGAGCGCUUGCCUAGCAUGCAUGAGGUACUGAGUUCGAUCCCCAGCACCACA